RNAcentral lists this transfer RNA (131 nucleotides) under Annulohypoxylon nitens. RNAcentral's name for it is "tRNA-Ser". It matches the Rfam family "tRNA". Rfam says of the family: Transfer RNA (tRNA) molecules are approximately 80 nucleotides in length. Their secondary structure includes four short double-helical elements and three loops (D, anti-codon, and T loops). Lineage: Eukaryota; Fungi; Ascomycota; Sordariomycetes; Xylariales; Hypoxylaceae. The record is from RNAcentral.
GGCACAGUGGCGGAGUGGUCUAACGCGUGUGACUCGAAUUGGGAAUCGUUCAAAUUCGAUAUAAAGUCGAAUAGAUUUCCAGAGUUCAUCACAUCUCUUCGGAGGCGCCCGUUCGAAUCGGGCCUGUGUCG